Long non-coding RNA from Oreochromis aureus, 4326 nucleotides. Lineage: Eukaryota; Metazoa; Chordata; Actinopteri; Cichliformes; Cichlidae. The record is from Ensembl.
AAUCUAUCAGAAUAGGAAAAACAGCAAUGUGAGUUGAAGUGUAAAUUAUUUAUUUCAUUUUAUGCAGGUUAAAUGUCGCAUCUGUUCUGCAGAGCUUUCUUACACAAACAAAAGCACCUCCUCAGUGUUUAGGCAUUACAGAGCCAAACAUGAAAAUGAGGAGACAAACACACCGAGAAUGAACACAGCAUCUAGGAAGACUGUUCUGGACCAGGCAGUCCUGAAUUUUAUUAUAAGGGACUGUCAACCCCUUAGUAUUGUGGAGAGUGUCGGAGAGAAACAUUCCAAGAUCAGAGGAUCCUUUAACGUACUGGGGGAAUAGGAAGACAUCUUAUCUGAACCUUUUCCACCUGGCUUUACAGUUUUUGUGUACCCCAGCUUCAUCUGUGCCUGUGAGUUUUCCAAAGCUGGGGAAAUGGUGUCAAAAAAAUGCAAUAGACUGAAUGCAAAAACAUUGGAUAAACUUAUUUUUCUGAAUAGAAUUUUAUAAUAAACUCUGAGUCAAAUGGGUAAUAUUACAUUCACAAUACUUUCAUUUUAAUUUUCACUUAGUGUCAUUCACAAUAUAUUUUAUAAUGUCUACAAUAUUUGAAAUGUAAAAGAUAUAAAAUGAUUCCAUGGAAAGUACAAUACCUUAGUGUACAAGUAUGACUAGGUCAUUGAAUCAGUGUCUGUUGUGAGUCUCAAGUAAGUUGCCUGCAAUGAUAUUUAAGGUCCAGCAGGUGUCAGUAUGGAGCAAAACAGCAACACUGUGUCGACACAGUAUCAAUACAGUUUGGGGAAUGUGCUGAAAUGCUUCACGAGGCCUCAUCUACCCAUCACUAGUCAAAACUAAACAAAACCUAAACUGGGAGCACCUACAGAAAUAAUACAUAGGAACAUAAAAACCUGAGACAGGGAACAUAGAACACAAUGAACAUGGGAAAUGUCAUGGGUGAUGCAAAGACAAACCAACAACAAACAGGGGAAGACACAGGGCUUAAACACACUGAGGGAUAACGAGGGAAUGAGACACAGGAGGAGAGCACAGCUGGGAGUAAUCAAAUAUGAUGAGACCAAGGGGAAGUAAACUGGAAACAUUAACAAAGAACACGGGACUAUCAAAGUAAAACAGGAAACAUAAGACAGGCACAGAGACAUGGACGUUACCCUGAACCCUGUUAUAACCUCUAACAGUGGGCAGACAUUAUAUUAAACCCUAUGGAUUAAGAAUGGAGUGUUACUCAAGUUCAUAUGUGUUUGAAUUCAAAUGGACGAAUAAUUUUAGUAAUAUAAUGAAGCUUCUCUGUGAUUAUUGAAGUGUUAAGAUGAUACUUAGUGCAGUCUUUUCACCAGCAGAUGGGGAUAAAUCAUCAUCAAUCAAUCCUCAAACUCCUAAAAGGAGACUAUUCUUAUUUUUCUUAUAAUGUAAAUAGUGUCUCCACAUUAUCUGCAGGAUAACAACACAAGGUUUGCCUGUGCCUUAUGAAAUUCAAACCAGUUUAAAAACCACACAGAAGCUUCAGUGUUGAUCAGUAGCAGUCUUAUCCGUCAGCUGCUGGAGCUGACGGGAGUUAUGUUAAAAACCACGUGGUACUUGUAUGAUUAUCCUUGUUUGGCCUCAGCUGCAUUGGAGCUCUACUUCUCUCCUGGUUCACCAGAGAAACCUUCACUGCACACAAUGCUUUUCCUCCCAGCUGCUGCUCUGUGCUGUCUGUGUUCAGGUGAGUGAUUUUAUUCAAACAAGAGCACAACAUCAGUACCAAUCUGCCAUACUAACCUGUCUGUGUCUCCACAGUGAUGGUUACUGUGGCUGAAGAGUUGAUACAGAGUGAUUUAACUCUGACCAGGAGAGCUGGUGAAAGUGUCUCCUUCAGCUGUGGUGGAACUGACCAGUGCAACACUGCAGUUGUAGACUGGUACCAGAAGAAAGACACAAGAGAAUUAUUCAGAAUGCUUCUUUCUAUCAGCACGAAAAAUGGUGCAAUUACUAAAGGCUACAACCACCCCGAGGAAGAAGAUUUCUCAGCUGUAAAGAAACAGGAUGGCUGGGAGUUGGAGAUAAAGAAAGUUAAAGACGUUCAUUCAGCCACCUACUACUGCUGUUGCUCUAAAAGUUCUCAUAGUGACAAAUGAUCCCUGCAGGCUGAACAAAAACCAUCAGAGCAAAAGCAAGAAACCACAACCCACAUUCACAUAUGUCACCUCCAUCUCAGUCUGAGACACAAGAACAGAGUUACGGAAAUUUCAGCAUUUAAAUUGCACAAAUCGAAGUCUUUAUAUCAGCAAACAGUGAAAUGACUAUUUGUAAUGAAGGCUGAGAGCUCAGUGGGAAGUUUUCUGGUCUAGUAUGUUUGCACUAAAUAAAAGUGGUUUUCACUCAAAUUGCUUAUUAUCUUAACAGAAAGAAGAAAAAGAAACAAAGUGUUGAUGGUUUUAAUGAUAAGAUUUCAAAGUUACACAUUUCAGAACUCCUGAAAUCACCUCAAAUGAAAUCAGUCACCUUUAAUUCACAGGACUAACUGGGAUAUGUUUGAACAUCAGGACCUGAAAAUGUUCACAGACAGUGUUCUCUGGUACAUAAAACACUGCAUAGACACUGUACAGUAGACAAAUGUAUCCGGGGUUAUCCCAACCAAAAGCCCUGGAUGACCUGGGAGGUCAAGCAGCUGCUGAAGGAGAGGAACAUGGCGUUCAGGUCUGGCAACAGGGGGACUAUAGGAGGAGGAUUGAGGACCAUCUGGAGAGUAACAACAGCCGGCAGGUGUGGCAGGGCAUCCAGCAUCUAACAAACUAUAAAAUCAACCUCAGAGCUGCGGAAGGUGACCUGGCGCUAGCGGAGGAGCUGAAUAUCUUCUUCGCCCGCUUUGACGCCAUGGUACCGGAGGUAUUGGAGCCACAGCAGCAACACGCGGCCCACAGCAGCACCACCCUCACCCUGGAAGAACACAAGGUGAGGCACACUCUGUGGGCCAUUAACCCGAGAAAGGUGGAGGGUCCUGAUGGUGUGUCAGGUCGAAUAUUGAGAGAUUGUGCAGAACAGCUGGCUGGGAUCUUCACCACCAUCUUCAACAAAUCCCUCGCACAGGUGACUGUCCCACUCUGCCUGAAGUCCUCCACCAUAAGAAGCCCCACAUCACCAGCCUGAAUGACUGCAGACCAGUGGCACUCACCCCAGUGGUAAUGAAAUGAUUUGAGAAGCUGGUCCUCAGACACAUCACAGCAGCCCUGCAGCCUGGAUCCACACCAGUUUGCCUACAGAGCAAACCGGUCCACGGAAGACGCUGUUGCCACAGUACUCCAUGCUGCCGUAACAUGGAGGAGCAUGGUGUGGAUGCUUUUCGUGGAUUACUGCUCAGCUUUUAACACCAUCCUUCCACACAAACUGGUGGUCAAGCUACAAGACCUGGGGGUUCCAUACAGCACCUGAAUGUGGAUCAACAGUUUCCUCUCAGACCGUAGACAGAGAGUCAGAGUUGGCCAUCACACAUCCUCGGCCCUGAGUCUCAGCACUGGCUCACCCCAGGGCUGUGUGCUCAGUCCACUACUCUACUCUCUCUACACACACGACUGCACUCCUCUCCACCAGAGCAACAUCUUUGUGAAGUUUGCAGACGACACCACCGUGGUGGGGCUCAUUUCCAGGGGUGACAAGUCUGCUUACAGAGACGAGGUGGAGCAGCUGUCGUCAUGGUGUAAGGCCAAUAACCUCCUCCUCAAUAGUUCAAAGACCAAAGAACUCAUAAUAGACUUCAGAAGGAAAAAGGCAGAGAUCCCACCAUUAUUCAUCAAUGGGGACUGUGUAGAAAGGGCGGCAAACUUUCGCUUCCUGGGAGUCAACAUGGAGGAGAACCUUUCUUGGAGUGCGAACACCUCUGAGCUCCUGAAAAAGGCCCAACAGAGACUGCACUUCCUGAGAAUUCUCAGGAGGAAUAACAUCACACAGAAACUGCUGGUGUCCUUCUACAGAGCCACCAUUGAGAGUGUACUAAAUAUUGCAUAUGCAUCUGGUACAUGUUAAGGUUCAAAAAUAUAGGGAAGGAAACACAGGAGGAAUGCAAGUAACCACACUGGUCCAAAGGGUAAAGACGAUGAUUUUAAUGAAAUGACACGCGUGGGAGAAUGAGCGGACUCUGUAAGCAGACAGCCCCACAAUCUCAUCCUCCUAACAUCAAAAUACAGUUUUAUAUGCAUCAGAGUAUAUUUAGUGACGCCCCCUCAUUGCGUCAUCACAUACAUCAGCUUCAAAACCACAAAUGUUCUAUUUGACAACUUAAGGCACAAUUAAAAGUACACUGGCUUCCAUCUUCUCCCCGGUGGUUUCCCGUAAGCCAGCUCAGCUCUCGC